GAUGAAGAACGUAGCGAAAUGCGAUACUUGGUGUGAAUUGCAGAAUCCCGUGAACCAUCGAGUCUUUGAACGCAAGUUGCGCCCGAAGCCACUAGGCCGAGGGCACGCCUGCCUGGGCGUCACACGCCGUUGCCCCCCCAUCUACUCCUUCGGGAUUGCGGGGGGGCGGAUGAUGGCCUCCCGUGCGCCUAGCCGCGCGGUUGGCAUAAAUACCAAGUCCUCGGCGACGCACGCCACGACAAUCGGUGGUUGCGAAACCUCGGUUGCCCGUCGUGUGCGUUCGUCGCGCAUCGAGGGCUCGAAAAAAUGCUCGGCUCCGGCUGGGCUUUCAACGCGACCCCAGGUCAGGCGGGGUUACCCGCUGAAUUUAAGCAUAUCAAAGCGGAGGA
RNAcentral lists this unclassified non-coding RNA (389 nucleotides) under soil metagenome. RNAcentral's name for it is "partial contains 5.8S ribosomal RNA, internal transcribed spacer 2, and large subunit ribosomal RNA". The stretch from base 1 to 122 matches the Rfam family "5.8S ribosomal RNA", at positions 35 to 154 of the family's 154-position model. The record is from RNAcentral.